RNAcentral lists this ribosomal RNA (253 nucleotides) under uncultured bacterium. Its description in RNAcentral is "partial 16S ribosomal RNA". It matches the Rfam family "Bacterial small subunit ribosomal RNA", at positions 524 to 776 of the family's 1533-position model. The record is from RNAcentral.
UACGUAGGGUGCAAGCGUUGUCCGGAAUUAUUGGGCGUAAAGGGCUCGUAGGCGGUCCAUCGCGUCGGGAGUGAAAAGCUGGGGCUCAACCCCAGUCCUGCUUUCGAUACGGGUGGACUAGAGGUAUGCAGGGGAGAACGGAAUUCCUGGUGUAGCGGUGAAAUGCGCAGAUAUCAGGAGGAACACCGGUGGCGAAGGCGGGUCUCUGGGCAAUAACUGACGCUGAGGAGCGAAAGCGUGGGGAGCGAACAGG